Molecule: long non-coding RNA, 286 nt
Filed under: Elaeis guineensis (African oil palm)
Lineage: Eukaryota; Viridiplantae; Streptophyta; Magnoliopsida; Arecales; Arecaceae
Description: long non-coding RNA (EGUI_LNC045184)
Source: RNAcentral
CCAACUUAGGUUCAAACUAUGGGGUCACGCAUAUUAGAAGAUUUGAUCAAAUCUAACGACUGAAGAGUCCAAUUGGAUUGUGACUAUGAUGAGGAGUCUCACUGGAACUGAGACUCUGGAGGAGAGCCCUACUAAGACUGAGAAUCUACUAUUAAUAGAAAAUUAAUUAGUAAUUAGAUUACUAAUUGACUUAAUUUGAUUGGAUAAAGAGCUUUGGAUCAAGUUUAAUUAAAUUAGAUUCAGUUCGACUCAGCUUGGAUUUGAUAUGAUCAAGCCUGAUUACAAG